UGGGGUGUAGCUCAGUGGCAGAGUAGUUGUCUAGUGUGCAUGUGGCUUGGGUUAUAUUCCCAGCACCUUAA
RNAcentral lists this transfer RNA (71 nucleotides) under Dipodomys ordii (Ord's kangaroo rat). It matches the Rfam family "tRNA". From Rfam's summary of the family: Transfer RNA (tRNA) molecules are approximately 80 nucleotides in length. Their secondary structure includes four short double-helical elements and three loops (D, anti-codon, and T loops). Further hydrogen bonds mediate the characteristic L-shaped molecular structure. tRNAs have two regions of fundamental functional importance: the anti-codon, which is responsible for specific mRNA codon recognition, and the 3' end, to which the tRNAs corresponding amino acid is attached (by aminoacyl-tRNA synthetases). tRNAs cope with the degeneracy of the genetic code in two manners: having more than one tRNA (with a specific anti-codon) for a particular amino acid; and 'wobble' base-pairing, i.e. permitting non-standard base-pairing at the 3rd anti-codon position. Lineage: Eukaryota; Metazoa; Chordata; Mammalia; Rodentia; Heteromyidae. The record is from Rfam by way of RNAcentral.